UACUAGAGUAGCACUCGCAUAUCAAUAAGCGGAGGAAAAGAAACUAACAAGGAUUCCCCUAGUAACGGCGAGUGAAGCGGGAAGAGCUCAAAUUUGAAAUCUUAAAGGGUUUCCCUUUACGAAUUGUAGUUUAAAGAAGUGUUUUCUGUUGAGGUUUUGGUAAAAGUUCUUUGGAAUAGGACAUCAUAGAGGGUGAGAAUCCCGUAUUUGACCUUUACUUUCAACUUUGUGAUACACUUUCAAAGAGUCGGAUUGUUUGGGAAUGCAGUCCAAAAUGGGUGGUAAAUUUCAUCUAAAGCUAAAUAUUGGCGAGAGACCGAUAGCGAACAAGUACCGUGAGGGAAAGAUGAAAAGAACUUUGAAAAGAGAGUUAAACAGUACGUGAAGUUGUCAAGAGGGAAGCGUUUGACACCAGUGUUGUUUUUCUGAAAAUCAAUUAAAGAACUGUUUAUGCUAAGCUGUUUAGACUUUAUCAGCUAUCUGUUUAGUUUUGAGCUUUUCUUUAAUGCACUUUUCAGUUAACAAGUCAACAUCAAUUUCUUUUGCUGUAAAAAAGCUUGAGGAAGGUGGCUUGAGAUUCGUCUUAAGUGUUUAUAGCCUCUUGCCUAUGCAGUCGGAGAGAUUGAGGUCUGCAGCGUAGAUCCUUCGGGGCUAAAUGCAUUUGUGCUAAGUUAUAGCAUUUUAUAGACAACUUGUUGACUAUGAUUUGUCUUGUAGCUUACUCGCUUAUGUUAUUUUACCUACGCUUAGGAUGUUGAACUACUGAGACAUAGA
This 774-nucleotide ribosomal RNA is filed under the name uncultured Neocallimastigales. RNAcentral describes it as "partial large subunit ribosomal RNA". It matches the Rfam family "Eukaryotic large subunit ribosomal RNA", at positions 20 to 644 of the family's 3401-position model. Lineage: Eukaryota; Fungi; Neocallimastigomycota; Neocallimastigomycetes; Neocallimastigales. The record is from RNAcentral.